Long non-coding RNA from Daphnia pulex (common water flea), 806 nucleotides. RefSeq lists it as uncharacterized. Lineage: Eukaryota; Metazoa; Arthropoda; Branchiopoda; Diplostraca; Daphniidae. The record is from RefSeq and is a predicted model, not a curated record. The transcript has 4 exons.
UUGAGAAGCAUCGCGUAGUGCUGGAUCGCAAAUUCCGCCACACUUACGAUUUGCUCAUCAAAGCUACUAAUGACCACCAGUAUCUAACUACUCAGGUAGAUUUUAAUCAGAAUUUGAAUAGCCUUUUUAAAUUAGCAUCAGGUAAAUUUGAAAUACUUUUGCAGAUGUCUGAUGCUGAGGGAGAAACGCCAAGCGAUGGAUCAUGACCCUAGUAUCGCCCAGGUCCAUAUAGACGUAGUGGAUAUUAACGACAAUCCGCCUCAUUUCGAAAUUGAGACCUUUUACGCUGGAGUGGAUUACAGUUCAACCAGUGAUAAGCUGCUGUUGCAAAUUCAUGCCUCCGAUCCUGAUUUCGGCAUCAAUGGCUCGCUCUCCUACUUUAUCCGAUCGUCCAACUUGUUUCACAUGGGCUCACAGAUUUCUUCGGGUUCAGUAGUGCCGUAACCACGUCAAUGAACAUCCGCCAACUUUUAGCAAGCCCCUGAAUUCUGAAGAACCUUUUAUUAAUCUGCUUGUGGCCGAAGAACAACCAAUUGGCAGCAUUGUUUGUAAAAUUUCGGCAACACAUCCCGAUUCGCCUAUCGAUCGAUACGAAUUUCUGCCGCCUCAUCCAUUUUUUUCCAUCGAUGGCCGAUCAGGAGUUGUGACUAACAAGCCACGGCUGGACUAUGAAGCUUCACCGGAAUACAAUUUGACGGUUGUUGCUCACGAUGCUGGAAUUCCUUCCCUGUCGUCCAUGGCUCAGGUUAAAGUGACGUUGAUAAACAUCAAUGAUCUGAGUCCUGCUUCACUUCGAAAUCCUACGA